CCUACGGGAGGCAGCAGUGAGGAAUAUUGGUCAAUGGCCGGAAGGCUGAACCAGCCAAGCCGCGUGAAGGACGAAGGUGCCAAGCAUUGUAAACUUCUUUUGUCAAGGGACAAAAUCAGGCUCGAGAGCCUGACCGAGGGCACUUGAAGAAAAAGCAUCGGCAAACUCCGUGCCAGCAGCCGCGGUAAUUCGGGGGAUGAGAGCGUUGUCCGGAUUUAUUGGGGUAAACGGAGGGGUAGGCGGACUGUUAGGUCAGCGGUAACAGCCCGGGGCUCAACCCCGGCGAGCCGUUGAAACUGGCUGUCUUGAGAGGGCGAGAGGUAUGCGGAAUGCGCAGUGUAGCGGUGAAAUGCGUAGAUAUUGCGCAGAACUCCGAUGGCGAAGGCAGCAUACCGGCGGCGAUCUGACGCUGAGGCACGAAAGCGUGGGUAUCGAACAGGAUUAGAUACCCGUGUAGUC
Molecule: ribosomal RNA, 459 nt
Filed under: uncultured bacterium
Lineage: Bacteria
Description: partial 16S ribosomal RNA
Rfam family: Bacterial small subunit ribosomal RNA
Source: RNAcentral